This 305-nucleotide ribosomal RNA is filed under the name uncultured bacterium. RNAcentral's name for it is "partial 16S ribosomal RNA". It matches the Rfam family "Bacterial small subunit ribosomal RNA", at positions 508 to 807 of the family's 1533-position model. The record is from RNAcentral.
ACAGCAGCCGCCGCGGGAAUACGGAGGGUGCAAGCGUUAAUCGGAAUUACUGGGCGUAAAGCGCACGCAGGCGGUCUGACAAGUCAGAUGUGAAAUCCCCGGGCUUAACCUGGGAACUGCAUUUGAAACUGUCAGGCUGGAGUCUUGUAGAGGGGGGUGGAAUUCCAGGUGUAGCGGUGAAAUGCGUAGAGAUCUGGAGGAAUACCGGUGGCGAAGGCGGCCCCCUGGACAAAGACUGACGCUCAGGUGCGAAAGCGUGGGGAGCAAACAGGAUUAGAUACCCGCGUAGUCCCUGUCUCUUAUAC